AUUCCAGCUCCAAUAGCGUAUAUUAAAGUUGUUGUGGUUAAAAAGCUCGUAGUUGGAUCUCGGCGGUCUGAGGGCGGUUCGCUUCAGAGCGCUACUGCCCUAUAGACCGUAGUUUUGCCAGAGGUCUCAGGGUGCUCUUAACCGAGUGUCUUGCGAUGCUGGCAGGUUUACUUUGAAAAAAUUAGAGUGCUCAAAGCAGGCUUUUACGCCUGAAUAUUCGUGCAUGGAAUAAUAGAAUAGGAAGUCGUUUCUAUUUUGUUGGUUUUCGGAAAUCGACCUAAUGAUUAAUAGGGACAGUUGGGGGUAUUCGUAUUCCGUUGUCAGAGGUGAAAUUCUUGGAUUUACGGAAGACGAACUACUGCGAAAGCAUUUACCAAGGAUGUUUUCAUUA
This 391-nucleotide ribosomal RNA is filed under the name Pseudocalanus sp. RNAcentral describes it as "partial small subunit ribosomal RNA". It matches the Rfam family "Eukaryotic small subunit ribosomal RNA", at positions 582 to 975 of the family's 1831-position model. The record is from RNAcentral. Lineage: Eukaryota; Metazoa; Arthropoda; Copepoda; Calanoida; Clausocalanidae.